RNAcentral lists this unclassified non-coding RNA (303 nucleotides) under Planktothrix paucivesiculata PCC 9631. Its description in RNAcentral is "partial 16S-23S ribosomal RNA intergenic spacer". Lineage: Bacteria; Bacillati; Cyanobacteriota; Cyanophyceae; Oscillatoriales; Microcoleaceae. The record is from RNAcentral.
UAGGGAGACCUACUUUUGAGUCGAGUGCCCAAUCCAAAAAUACAGCACCCUCAAAAGUCAUCCCAGGUCGUUACGAGAAGAAUGAAAAACACAACAACAGCUUUCAAACUCCGAAGUCCGGUUCAAAACCUAGGACAAUUCAGCACCUAGCUUCUGUAAAUAAAAAAGAAGCCAGAAUGCUGGACUAGCAAGUCCAGACAGAACCUUGAAAAUUGCAGAGAAACAAAAACUGGCAGUAGUUCGUAGUUAGAACUCCCAGCCGAAGGAAAGGAAACUAACCCUAGGUGGAGAGAACUAACCAAA